Molecule: ribosomal RNA, 497 nt
Filed under: uncultured bacterium
Lineage: Bacteria
Description: partial 16S ribosomal RNA
Rfam family: Bacterial small subunit ribosomal RNA
Source: RNAcentral
GAUGAACGCUGGCGGCGUGCCUAAUACAUGCAAGUCGAGCGAACAGACGAGGAGCUUGCUCCUCUGACGUUAGCGGCGGACGGGUGAGUAACACGUGGAUAACCUACCUAUAAGACUGGGAUAACUUCGGGAAACCGGAGCUAACACCGGAUAAUAUAUUGAACCGCAUGGUUCAAUAGUGAAAGACGGUUUUGCUGUCACUUAUAGAUGGAUCCGCGCCGCAUUAGCUAGUUGGUAAGGUAACGGCUUACCAAGGCAACGAUGCGUAGCCGACCUGAGAGGGUGAUCGGCCACACUGGAACUGAGACACGGUCCAGACUCCUACGGGAGGCAGCAGUAGGGAAUCUUCCGCAAUGGGCGAAAGCCUGACGGAGCAACGCCGCGUGAGUGAUGAAGGUCUUCGGAUCGUAAAACUCUGUUAUUAGGGAAGAACAAAUGUGUAAGUAACUAUGCACGUCUUGACGGUACCUAAUCAGAAAGCCACGGCUAACUACGUG